AUUGUUUUGUAGUUCAUAAGCAGGAUGACUGGGCUGUCAUGGCUGUGUAGUGAGGGGUACCUCUCUCAAACCUUGCCAUAGUGUUGGCAUAAUAUCCAAGUGAUG
RNAcentral lists this small nucleolar RNA (105 nucleotides) under Neotoma lepida (desert woodrat). RNAcentral describes it as "Small nucleolar RNA U13". It matches the Rfam family "Small nucleolar RNA U13". Lineage: Eukaryota; Metazoa; Chordata; Mammalia; Rodentia; Cricetidae. The record is from Rfam by way of RNAcentral.